CGUGACACCAAACCAUCUUAUCUUUCACAAUCAAACCGUAGGAAGAGAAACAUGGCUGUUGCAUACUCACAUCUUACAAGUGGAAACGCUACCAUUAAACACAAAAGGCUCGCCCUUGAAGAUAACCUACAAAACAUUCAGAUCAUUGACAUUCAUCAUUGCUAAAGAUCGUGAAUGCCAAGACAUCUAUGAUACUCUGGUGCACUUCUCUAAACCAAAUUGAUAUGAUGAGAUAUAUGCAUUUCACUACUCUCUACAAGAGAAGAAAUUUAGCCGCGAGAACGGCCGGUCUAUUUUCAAUCACGAUAAAGAGUUUGGUCGAAUGGGCAUUCCCAACGACUACUGGCAUUACAGUCCAUUGAAUGAGAACUACAAGCUUUGUCAGACGUAUCCUGAGUGGCUGUAUGUGCCGAUUGGCGUGAGUGAAGAAGUCGUGAAUGGCAGUGCUAAGUUUAGAGUGCAGAGAGUGUACCAGCAUUGUCAUAUUACCACCAAGAGACAUAGGUGAAACUUUGAUAAGGUGAUAAAGGGAGGAAGUUAUUCUAAUGUGGCUGCCAUUGUCUAGUCGAGAACUAACUCAGCUGCAGGUAAGUACACUAAAAGAGAUUCAAACUGUCAAUCUGCAUGUAAAAAUAAAUAUUUAAUAUUUGUGGUCAACAAUUGGUCUA
This is a long non-coding RNA of Corticium candelabrum, 668 nucleotides long. RefSeq lists it as uncharacterized. The transcript has 5 exons. The record is from RefSeq and is a predicted model, not a curated record. NCBI's taxonomy places the organism in Eukaryota, Metazoa, Porifera, Homoscleromorpha, Homosclerophorida, Plakinidae.